RNAcentral lists this ribosomal RNA (462 nucleotides) under Salmonella enterica subsp. enterica serovar Anatum. RNAcentral's name for it is "bacterial LSU rRNA". It matches the Rfam family "Bacterial large subunit ribosomal RNA", at positions 454 to 816 of the family's 2925-position model. The record is from RNAcentral. Lineage: Bacteria; Pseudomonadati; Pseudomonadota; Gammaproteobacteria; Enterobacterales; Enterobacteriaceae.
CAUCCUCCAAGGCUAAAUACUCCUGACUGACCGAUAGUGAACCAGUACCGUGAGGGAAAGGCGAAAAGAACCCCGGCGAGGGGAGUGAAAAAGAACCUGAAACCGUGUACGUACAAGCAGUGGGAGCCCCACCACCAAAGCAUUCUCUGGUGUUGAAGGCCCUGCAAAGCAGCAUCGCGGUGGCGGAGCGUCGUUUGCGACGCCCAACACACAAAACAAGCGGUGAGUGCUUUGGGGUGGGGUGACUGCGUACCUUUUGUAUAAUGGGUCAGCGACUUAUAUUCUGUAGCAAGGUUAACCGUAUAGGGGAGCCGUAGGGAAACCGAGUCUUAACCGGGCGUUAAGUUGCAGGGUAUAGACCCGAAACCCGGUGAUCUAGCCAUGGGCAGGUUGAAGGUUGGGUAACACUAACUGGAGGACCGAACCGACUAAUGUUGAAAAAUUAGCGGAUGACCUGUGGCU